CUCUUCGGCAGCAAUACACUAAAAAGAAAAAAAUAAUUGGAAUGAUACAGAGAAGAUUAGCAUGGUUCCUGUGCAAGGAUGACACACAAAUUUGGGAAGUGUUUCAUAUUUUA
Small nuclear RNA from Chlorocebus sabaeus (green monkey), 113 nucleotides. The record is from Ensembl. Lineage: Eukaryota; Metazoa; Chordata; Mammalia; Primates; Cercopithecidae.